GACUAUUUAGAAAAUCGUUCAAGAAGAGACAAUUUAAGAAUAAUUGGACUACCAGAAGACCAUGACAAAAGAAAAAGCCUGGACAUAAUACUAGAGGAAAUUAUCCAGGAAAACUGUCCCGAGAUCCUAGAACAAGAGGGGAAAGUGGAGAUUGAAAGAAUCCACAGAUCACCCCUUGUAUUUAAUCCCCAACUGAAAACACCAAGAAAUGUUAUAGCCAAAUUCAAAAACAAUCAGAUGAAAGAAAAGAUAUUACAAGCUGCCACGAAGAAGCCAUUCAGAUACCAUGGAAACAUGGUGAGGUUAACACAGGAUCUGACUGCAUCCACACUGAAGGACCGAAAGGCAUGGAAUAUGAUAUUCUGGAAAGCAAGGGAACCAGGUCUACAGCCAAGAAUAAAAUACCCAUCAAAACUGACUAUAUUCUUACAGGGGAAAGUAUGGUCAUUCAACACAACAGAAGAGUUCCAAGCGUUCAUAAAUAAAAGACCAGACCUGAACAGAAAAUUUGAUGUCCAACCACAGAACUCAAGAGAAUCCUCAAAAGAUGAGGAAACUGAGGCAAACAGAGGCAAAAGCAGAAGAGUGGUAAGGGCUAGGCAAUGGAGAUUAAGUGACUUGCCCACGAUCACACAAUGAGUAAGUAUAUGGGAUGGAUUUGAACUCGGGUCUUCCUGAAUCCAGGUCCAGUGCUCUAUCCAUUGUGCCAUCUGGUUAUUAUUGUUAGUUGUGCUUUUUAGGAGGCACUUGGCCAAGCCCCCUAGAGUAUUAAGUUAUCUUAGCCAAGAAGAAAGACAGCACUACCCUAGCAUUCCAUUUAGUUAAGGUGGCCUCUCUCACCUCAGAUCUGAAUGUGGGGGAGUAGAGUAGAGGGAAAGACUGCAGGCAUCCCAAAUGUAAUAGAGAGGGUAGAAGUAGGAUCCGGGUAAGGAAAGAAAUUAAUCAGCUUAGAAAUAAUGAAAUGUCUUGGAGCCUAGAAAACCAGGGCUGUUAACUCCAACCCACUAGACUGGCAUCAAAAGAAUGUCCUGGGAGCUAGUUGACUCAGUGGAUUGAGAGCCAGACCUAGAGACAGGGUUCAAAUCUGUCCUCAGAUACUUCCUAGCUAUGUGACCCUGGGUAAGUCACUUAACCCCCAUUGCCUAGCCCUUACCACACUUCUGCCUUGGAAUCAGUUCAUGGAUUUUAAGAUGGAAGGGUAAGGGUUAAAAAAAAUGUGCUAAGUCUACCUUGGGAAUGAAGGAGGGAGAAUUUCCAUCCUCAGCUGCCUCUUCUGGUUUGUUAGGCUGCCUUGGACAAUCACAAUAAUAAGGAUAAACAGUCCAGACAAUGUAAGAGCUUUUUGCUAGUGUCUUCCACUGCCCAAGAGGUCUACCCAUCAAGAGGCCUCUACUCCCACCUCAAUCAUCCUCUAUCACUAAAAUAGGAGGUGAUGGAGUUGCAACUUGAAAGGAACUUACCAAGUUUGAACACUGGACUGGGUUGAAUAAGACAAAAUUCAACUGAAAACAAUGGAAAGUCUUGCUCUUGGGUACAGAAAAAAACCAGCUUCACAAUUGUAAGAUGACAAAGCAUAGUUAUAC
Molecule: long non-coding RNA, 1583 nt
Filed under: Monodelphis domestica (gray short-tailed opossum)
Lineage: Eukaryota; Metazoa; Chordata; Mammalia; Didelphimorphia; Didelphidae
Description: lncRNA (ENSMODG00000041018.1)
Source: RNAcentral